RNAcentral lists this long non-coding RNA (209 nucleotides) under Vigna radiata. RNAcentral's name for it is "long non-coding RNA (VRAD_LNC011675)". Lineage: Eukaryota; Viridiplantae; Streptophyta; Magnoliopsida; Fabales; Fabaceae. The record is from RNAcentral.
ACAGCAUUGGGAGCGUCAAUGGCCACCAUGUUUAACAUAUAUAUAAGUUGUAUUAAUUUUUUUUUGUAGUUAUUUGAGAAAAUAUGGUAAGGGCUGUUUUGGCCGAUAAUUUUUUUAAAUUUUAUUUUUUAUUUUUAAAAUUUUUUAUACGUAUAUUAUAAUUAUAUUUAAUUAUAUUUUUUUAAGAUUUAAUUACUUAAUUAAUUAAC